CUUGCGGGCAUAUCACAUUGAAACACCCAUUACCGUACGAUCAACGAAGUUAAGCAAGGUCGAGCCUGGUCAGUACUUAGAUGGGUGACCACUUGGGAAUAGCAGCUGC
This is a non-coding RNA of Acanthosepion pharaonis, 109 nucleotides long. The record is from the annotation of a GenBank genome assembly. NCBI's taxonomy places the organism in Eukaryota, Metazoa, Mollusca, Cephalopoda, Sepiida, Sepiidae.